This 187-nucleotide ribosomal RNA is filed under the name uncultured Chlorobiota bacterium. Its description in RNAcentral is "uncultured Chlorobi bacterium partial 16S ribosomal RNA". It matches the Rfam family "Bacterial small subunit ribosomal RNA", at positions 338 to 526 of the family's 1533-position model. Lineage: Bacteria; Pseudomonadati; Chlorobiota. The record is from RNAcentral.
CCUACGGGAGGCAGCAGUAAGGAAUAUUGCUCAAUGGCCGAAAGGCUGAAGCAGCAACGCCGCGUGGAGGAUGAAAUACUUUUGUAUGUAAACUCCUGUGAGAAGGGAAAAAUAUGCAGAUUUUCUGCGUUGAUUGUACCUUCAGAGGAAGCCCCGGCUAACUACGUGCCAGCAGCCGCGGUAAUAA